CGGUCCUACGGGGGGCAGCAGUAGGGAAUCUUUCACAAUGGGCGAAAGCCUGAUGGAGCAACGCCGCGUGCAGGAUGAAGGCCUUCGGGUUGUAAACUGCUUUUAUAAGCGAGAAAUAUGAUGGUAACUUAUGAAUAAGGAUCGGCUAACUACGUGCCAGCAGCCGCGGUAAUACGUAGGGGGCAAGCGUUAUCCGGAUUUACUGGGUGUAAAGGGAGCGUAGACGGCAGGGCAAGUCUGGAGUGAAAGCCCGGGGCCCAACCCCGGGACUGCUUUGGAAACUGCCAUGCUGGAGUGCUGGAGAG
RNAcentral lists this ribosomal RNA (305 nucleotides) under uncultured bacterium. RNAcentral's name for it is "bacterial SSU rRNA". It matches the Rfam family "Bacterial small subunit ribosomal RNA", at positions 334 to 656 of the family's 1533-position model. The record is from RNAcentral.